This is a long non-coding RNA of Tripterygium wilfordii, 1032 nucleotides long. RefSeq lists it as uncharacterized. Lineage: Eukaryota; Viridiplantae; Streptophyta; Magnoliopsida; Celastrales; Celastraceae. The record is from RefSeq and is a predicted model, not a curated record. The transcript has 2 exons.
UCCACGGAGAGGAAACUAUUGGACUAUUUAGACCCGUCGCGAAGUUUCUACAAAAGGCAGCUCUCAGACAUUAGAAGACUUCACUAAACUCAGGCGCACGAAUUCUGAUUCCAGAAAUUGACUCGCAGCAGCCCUCGCUUGAAGCUUGGUCGAAGCUGUUGAAUGGGGAGAGACGAGCAACGCAAAGCUGGUGGCCACGUUUUGUGAAGGAGCAGAUCUCGCUUCACUUUUCGCUAGGUUUACGUUGUCGUUGGUACUCAGGUUUGUUGAUCGCCUUCUCAUAAUUCGUACUUUCUUCCUGAUCGUCACGUAGUUUCCUGUCGUUGUUAGGGUUCUCGACGCCGUUCGUAAUCUGUUUCUUGAUCGCCUUCUCAUGACUGGUUACUGCAAAAUAUGUCAAGAAGUGGUCGUAUUAUCCAGACUUAGUUCCAUAAUCUUGUAUGUACUUUCUCAAUUAUUUAUUUUCAUACAAAUGGAUCUUAUCUUGAUACAAAAAAAUUGGCUACUUAUUGUCUUCCUGCCCAUAUAGCGGCAUUAUACCUUCUUCUGGUGUUCUUCUGCAGUUCUGCUUAGUCAACGGCUUACUCCAUCUCGAGUAAUUAUUCUGUAACAAAAUUUCCAUGGUUCUGCUGAAUAUUCAUCUCAAGCUCACUCAAGCCAUACCUGUUCCUCAAGUACCGGAGAACUAUUAUAGUUGACCUCAGCAGCACUUUUUCCCUACUGUUCAAGUGAGGUCUCCUGCUUUCUUUUCUGUUUUCAUCUGUUGGUUUAUGUUAGAAAUCCUUAAAAUGGAAAAUUAGUUCUAAUACUCACCACACUAUGCACCAUUAGGAUGAUUUUGGAAUUUCUGAAGUGUCUGCAUUACUCUGCUUAGCUUUCGCUUCUACACCUGGUUGGAACUCUACUUAAACCUCUGUUCUGUUCAUUGUCUUUUGAUUUUGUUUAGAUGUUUUGUACUGCUCAUUAAAGUUUGUUUUGCUGGGCACAUUUUUCUGUCCUUUACAUUGAUUAAUCGAUAUAGUUUUUCUUGGA